GGUUUUGUAUUCAAAAAUGAUAUUAGACUGCAAUUCUAAAGGUGUAAAUAUAUACUAAGACCU
Molecule: transfer RNA, 63 nt
Filed under: Zhengitettix curvispinus
Lineage: Eukaryota; Metazoa; Arthropoda; Insecta; Orthoptera; Tetrigidae
Description: tRNA-Cys
Source: RNAcentral